GAUGAAGAACGCAGCGAAAUGCGACAAGUAAUGUGAAUUGCAGAAUUCAGUGAAUCAUCGAAUCUUUGAACGCACAUUGCGCCCGUCAGUAUUCUGGCGGGCAUGCCUGUUCGAGCGUCAUUACGCCCCUCAAGUCCCCUGUGGACUUGGUGUUGGGGAUCGGCGAGGCUGGUUUUCCAGCACAGCCGUCCCUUAAAUUAAUUGGCGGUCUCGCCGUGGCCCUCCUCUGCGCAGUAGUAAAACACUCGCAACAGGAGCCCGGCGCGGUCCACUGCCGUAAAACCCCCCAACUUUUUAUAGUUGACCUCGAAUCAGGUAGGACUACCCGCUGAACUUAAGCAUAUCAAUAAGCGGAGGA
This 358-nucleotide unclassified non-coding RNA is filed under the name soil metagenome. RNAcentral describes it as "partial contains 5.8S ribosomal RNA, internal transcribed spacer 2, and large subunit ribosomal RNA". The stretch from base 1 to 120 matches the Rfam family "5.8S ribosomal RNA", at positions 35 to 154 of the family's 154-position model. The record is from RNAcentral.